This 698-nucleotide ribosomal RNA is filed under the name uncultured Staphylococcus sp. RNAcentral describes it as "bacterial SSU rRNA". It matches the Rfam family "Bacterial small subunit ribosomal RNA", at positions 59 to 739 of the family's 1533-position model. Lineage: Bacteria; Bacillati; Bacillota; Bacilli; Caryophanales; Staphylococcaceae. The record is from RNAcentral.
AAGUCGAGCGAGCAGACGAGGAGCUUGCUCCUCUGACGUUAGCGGCGGACGGGUGAGUAACACGUGGAUAACCUACCUAUAAGACUGGGAUAACUUCGGGAAACCGGAGCUAAUACCGGAUAAUAUAUUGAACCGCAUGGUUCAAUAGUGAAAGACGGUUUUGCUGUCACUUAUAGAUGGAUCCGCGCCGCAUUAGCUAGUUGGUAAGGUAACGGCUUACCAAGGCAACGAUGCGUAGCCGACCUGAGAGGGUGAUCGGCCACACUGGAACUGAGACACGGUCCAGACUCCUACGGGAGGCAGCAGUAGGGAAUCUUCCGCAAUGGGCGAAAGCCUGACGGAGCAACGCCGCGUGAGUGAUGAAGGUCUUCGGAUCGUAAAACUCUGUUAUUAGGGAAGAACAAAUGUGUAAGUAACUAUGCACGUCUUGACGGUACCUAAUCAGAAAGCCACGGCUAACUACGUGCCAGCAGCCGCGGUAAUACGUAGGUGGCAAGCGUUAUCCGGAAUUAUUGGGCGUAAAGCGCGCGUAGGCGGUUUUUUAAGUCUGAUGUGAAAGCCCACGGCUCAACCGUGGAGGGUCAUUGGAAGCUGGAAAACUUGAGUGCAGAAGAGGAAAGUGGAAUUCCAUGUGUAGCGGUGAAAUGCGCAGAGAUAUGGAGGAACACCAGUGGCGAAGGCGACUUUCUGGUCUGUAA